UACGGAGGAUGCAAGCGUUAUCCGGAUUUAUUGGGUUUAAAGGGUGCGCAGGUUGUUUGAUAAGUCAGUGGUGAAAGUCUGUCGCUUAACGGUAGGAUUGCCAUUGAUACUGUUAGACUUGAAUAUGGAUGAGGUAGGCGGAAUGUGUAGUGUAGCGGUGAAAUGCAUAGAUAUUACACAGAACACCGAUUGCGAAGGCAGCUUACUAAUCCAUCAUUGACGCUGAGGCGCGAAAGCGUGGGGAUCAAACAGGA
RNAcentral lists this ribosomal RNA (254 nucleotides) under uncultured prokaryote. RNAcentral describes it as "partial 16S ribosomal RNA". It matches the Rfam family "Bacterial small subunit ribosomal RNA", at positions 524 to 777 of the family's 1533-position model. The record is from RNAcentral.